Long non-coding RNA from Rhagoletis pomonella (apple maggot), 478 nucleotides. RefSeq lists it as uncharacterized. The record is from RefSeq and is a predicted model, not a curated record. Lineage: Eukaryota; Metazoa; Arthropoda; Insecta; Diptera; Tephritidae. The transcript has 3 exons.
UACAGUAAAUCAACACCUUUCACGCUUCUGUCGUUUUGUUUGUUUUAAUUUUUAUUUUUUUUUUAAGUUUCACUGAGUAACAUUAAUUUAACAGAUCGUACUUCAUAAUAUAAAAGUUUAAGCACUCGAUGUCUUUAAAAAAGAUAAGCAAAAAAUAUCUCGUAAUGCGGCUUUUGCACAACCGAAAAUUUUAUUGCAUACACAAGAAUACGUUCAAAAAUAAAUCAGUGGGAAGCAUAACAACACCUAUUUUCUUGCUUUUAAAUAGAUACAUGUGUAUUUACGUAGAAACCACUCAAAUCGCGGAAUGAAUUCUCAAUUCAGAAGAAGUUUACAACGUGAUUUUAAAGCCAAAGAAAUGCACUUGAUUAAAAAACUGACGAAAACAUUAAUCCGGAUCAACGGCGCAGUUGAUGGCAGAAUUAAGUCUUAAGCGAGCCAAAAGAAAUAUUUUUUUCCGCAUGGUCAGGAGUUCGAG